UCCUGGUAAUCUUAAUCAGGGCGUUUUGUUUGAGACAAUGCAUGCAAGUGGCUAGUAUUGUGCCUAGUCAAGGCAGGUCGUUUCAGUCAAUGGUCCUGGAAUCGUUACAAUUCAUACAUCUCUCUUUGUUCAAACCCCACUUUUCAGGGAUUUUAACCCUUCUUGAUUCACUUCUGUUGUCUAGAGUCGUGUAUCUUAUGUUCUUCCUUACUAUACCAAAUGUUAUCAGAUUCCAUAUUAUCAGAUUCUAUCUUUGUUGAAGAGAAAGUAAUAAAUUGCUUCAUUGAAAGGAACUAAUGGCAAAUAAUCAUCAUCCAUUUCUGAAGCCUCUUGCUUUUGCUUCUCUCAGCUUCUUCCCAACUAGAUACAUCCAUUGAUAUAUCUCAUAUCAACCAGCUGGAACUUAGUCAUGUUCCAGCACCCAAACUGUCUUGCUUUAAGUCAGGAACUAUUUUCAGUUGUCUGUGUCUAGCAUUGAAAGCUGAUUUCAGUUAAGUGCCAUCAAAAGUUCUCACAGGCUUGAAAAGUAGAUUAUAUUACUUUGCAUUUACAGAUGGAGAUAGGAGACUUAGAUUAUUUAACUUGCCAUGAAAUAGAUACAGUAUGGUGGUUUAGAAAUAAUCCAUCACAGCACAGGCUCUGGUGCCCUCAUUGUAGUAGAUGAGUUGUCUUUUGAUAACAUUAGUAUUGAGGAACAAGCAUCCAUCCUGUCCCAAAUUAUCUCUUACACUACACUUGACUACCAUGUUUGUCUAAGUCAUAAAAUUGAGCUACUGCUUUAAACUAAACUCUUAAUAAGAGUUUAAAAUUUUGGCUAGAUACUUUAUUUUAUUUUAUUUUUCUCUAGUUAAGCUUUGAGCUGAAGGACAAACUCAGUAGCUGGGCAGCUUAUUUCUGUCUUGAUCAUGGCAAUCAACUCUGAAUGUCUAUUCUACAGCUUACCCUUUGAUUGGUAGCUCAGGCUGGUGACUGAGGUUCUCUUGCCUAUUGUUAGAUAACAACAAUUACGUAUCAGCCUACAAAUGCUUGAGCAUUAGCUGGUGAAAUGCUCCUCUUCUGUCCCUCACCUAUCUAAUUAGAUUUUCAUUGACAUGCACCUUCUUUUUGUAAUGACAUCCCCAAUGGCUGUUCUAGAGGACUUUCUUUGGCUAAGGGAGCCAACUGAUCUCUGGUGUAGGACACAGACUUUUAACGGGGAUCUGGUUCCCAUUUUUUUUUUUUUUUUUUUUUUUUUUGUCUUUUGUCUUUUUAUGGCUGUACUCACAGCAUAGGGAGGAUCCCAGGCUACGGGUCUAAUCAUAGCUGUAACCAAUGGCCUACAUCACAGCAACGUCAGAUCCAAGCCACGUCUGUGACUUACAUCACAGCUCACGGCAACGCCGGAUCCUUAACUCGCUGAGCGAGGCCAAGGAUUGAACAUGCAAUUUCAUAGUUCCUAGAUGGAUUUGUUUCUGCUGCGCCAAAACGGGAACUCUUCAGCAUCAGUUUAAAUGGUAUUGUAGUACAUUUAAGGCAUUUUACCAAGGCUCUGUCUCAAAGGAAUACAGUUCUAUUGGGGAGAUUUUAAUAAUAGCAGUGGUCCUUUGAGGAGGUCAGUUUGAAGCUGAUUCAGUUACUAUUUGCUAUAGAUGUUAAUAUGGUCUUAAUUUUGGUGCUGCUCUAUAUGAUCUUAAAGUUAACCUCUUUUCUCCUUUGCCCUUAUGAAUUUGGAGGCUUCACUGAUGUUACAUGGUAAAUAAGAAAGCCAGAAGCAAGUUGGUAGGGAAUUCUUUUCCUUGAACAUUUUGUUUUCUUGGGGACUUCUAAAUUGGUUUUAUGAUAUCUUCAGGGUAUGACGAAAUGGUAAUUUUCUAGGCAAAAUAUCUUGUGAUUUUAUGCAGAAAGUAAUUCUAUAAUUCAUUCAUUUAUUACUAUUUAGAAUUCUGUCAAAGAAUCAUAGUUCAUUUCAUUUUUCUUAUGUAAUACAUAUAAUAUAUAAUAGGUUUUAUAAAAGAAAAGCUUGUAGAAUACAAGUUAGCUUUAAAAAUAUUAUUCUUUGAGUAGAGAAAAAAUAUUGGUGGAUUUUUUUGUUGGUCUUUUCCAUAUGGAUAUAUGAGGGCUAAAUACCCCAUAAAAGUUGUCCGACUAACCCUCAAACUGGGUUGUCCUUCUCCUUUGAAGAUUCAGAGCAUAUUAAAUAUGAUCUCUCUUACUGAGACAAUUAAAGGGAUUCAUCCACAAAUGUGACUCUGGGUUGCUUAAAUGGAUUUUUAAAAUGUUGUGUUUAGAACCCCAGUGGCUCUCUGGCAUGGUGCUUAUAAAUUAAGUUGCUUUCCUGCUAAAACGUAUAUUUCAGUUAUGUGGUCUUUCAAAGAUUAAAAAAAACAUUGCUCUUUUAUUCCUACACUUAAAAAAAGUAAAAAUGUAUGCCCCGUGCAAUAUGAAAGUUAAUAGGUUUUGAGAUAGCAUUUCAAAAUACAAUGCCUUUUCCCAGGGCAAAUGUAUGGAAUGCUUCCCAGGACUUUUUGUACCCUUUGAGAUUCAAAUGCAAGAUGAUUUCCCUGCCCCCAUCAUCCUAUUUAGUUUGCUGCAAUUAUUUAUGUGUGGUAAAAGUACCAGUUCAUGAAGUACAUUCACUUUUUAAAGUAUAUAAAUAGGUAUCUAUUUACUCCAAAAUAUGCUAUGAGCAAAAUUACGUGAGAACAUUUCCAAAGAUGAUUAAAUCCAAAAUUACAUAUAAGUUUUGGAAAGGAUAACUUUAAAUAAAUGAUAAAGUAUUUAAAAUCCUCAGGGAAUAUUUGUAUAAUAUUUGCACAUUGAAAAUGGGAAAUUGGCUGCCUAGUCUUUAAAAAGUUUUGGUUUCAUCUGGUCCUUAUAUCAGCCAUGAAUAUAUGAAAUCUUAGAACAGUAUCCCAACUCCAGUUAGUGAAUAUUAACAAUGUUAAUAAAUGCUGAAUAGUAAGAUUUUAUUGUGUAUAAUGACAGUCAUAUGAAUUUUAAAAAUACUGUUUUCACCAAGAGGGAAAAAUUAUGUAUCUGUGCAAAUACAGUAUUAUAGAAUCGUAUCCCAAAGAAAAGUUGUGUUUUUAAGUUUUCAGUUGUCAACUUCUUAUGGCACAUAUCGAGCCUUUUAAAUGAUACACAUUUUCUGUAACAGAAGCUUAUCACAUGUGUCACCUGUGCACAAUCAUGGACAUAAUAAGGAAGCUCUACAUGGCUCAGUGGGAAUAAACCAAGAAAAUUUCUCUCGAUAAAACCAUUGAUAAUUAAGACAUGAACAGAUGGACCCUCCAACCAUGAUCCUGUAGAGGACAUCACCAAAGAGUUAAUGUCUAGGAAAAUACUUCUCUCUGGGACAAUAUUUACAGUUCACCCCUCUUACUUAGCAAUUUACUCCUAAGUGCUGAAUUUAUAUCUUGUUAUCUUUGAAUCUGUCUGUUGUUUGGGCUUCUUACUCUAAAAGAGUCCUCAGCAUUGUCCUUGUCUUGAUCCCCACAUACCACUUACUCCUUUAAUCUUAGAGUUGCCGGCCACAGAUCUCCCUCUUGGCAAAGAUCUUGCUCCAUUGAGUCUCAUAUUUAACUCUUAUAUGCCCAACAUCAAUGCCUCUGUUUAUCCUACUUCAGUCUGCUCUGAUCUGGGCUUAGCAAAACUGUUAUUAGAAACUCAAAGGAACUGAUGUGUCAGAAGCAAUGUGCUAAAAUAAUAGCCAUGAUGAAUUUCAGGUCUCAGGACUGGAUUUAUGCUAGACUAUGAUUCAAAUACUCAUUUUCUCAAUGUUCUAGUGUUGAGAAUACAUAGAAUUAAAGUGAAUAUAAGUGCACAUUUUGCACUCAACAAGCUUUUAAUAGUGAGAAAGACAUAAAUAAGCAACUGGUGAAUACUGGAAAACAGAUUUCAGGGGAGAGGGGAAAUUUUGAGUUCAGGUUAAACUCUGUUUAAGGUUAUCUGGGAGGCCAUGCGUAAGGUAUUGUGACUCAUAGGUACUCAACAUCAUGGAGUUGAUUGGAUCAGAAAUUUGGGUAGUCAUUUACCUCAUGUGUGUUGUAGUUUAAAUCACUGGAGUUAAAAAAAAUCACUCGAUGUUGAUGUGUAACG
This 4077-nucleotide long non-coding RNA is filed under the name Sus scrofa (pig). RNAcentral describes it as "lncRNA (ENSSSCG00000057170.1)". Lineage: Eukaryota; Metazoa; Chordata; Mammalia; Artiodactyla; Suidae. The record is from RNAcentral.